UACAGAGGAUGCAAGCGUUAUCCGGAAUGAUUGGGCGUAAAGCGUCUGUAGGUGGCUUUUUAAGUCCGCCGUCAAAUCCCAGGGCUCAACUCUGGACAGGCAGUGGAAACUACCAAGCUGGAGUACGGUAGGGGCAGAGGGAAUUUCCGGUGGAGCGGGUGAAAUGCGUAGAGAUCGGAAAGAACACCAACGGCGAAAGCAACUCUGCUGGGCCGACACUGACACUGAGAGACGAAAGCUAGGGGAGCGAAUGGG
This 255-nucleotide ribosomal RNA is filed under the name uncultured bacterium. Its description in RNAcentral is "partial 16S ribosomal RNA". It matches the Rfam family "Bacterial small subunit ribosomal RNA", at positions 524 to 776 of the family's 1533-position model. The record is from RNAcentral.